RNAcentral lists this ribosomal RNA (250 nucleotides) under uncultured archaeon. Its description in RNAcentral is "partial 16S ribosomal RNA". It matches the Rfam family "Archaeal small subunit ribosomal RNA", at positions 474 to 725 of the family's 1478-position model. The record is from RNAcentral.
CCCCGGCGCCACGAGUGGCAAUCUUAUAUUGGGCCUAAAGCAUUCGUAGCCGGUUUGAAAAAUCCUUUGUGAAAUUGUUGAACUCAAUACAACAGCAUGCAGGGGACACUUUCAGACUAGAGACUGGGAGGAGUUGGGGGUAUGCCUUGGGGAACGGUUAAAUGUGAUAAUCCAAGGUAGACCACCUGUGGCGAAGGCGCCCAACUAGAACAGUUUUGACGGUGAGGGAUGAAAGCUAGGGGAGCGAUCC